RNAcentral lists this small RNA (1668 nucleotides) under Pongo abelii (Sumatran orangutan). RNAcentral describes it as "processed transcript". Lineage: Eukaryota; Metazoa; Chordata; Mammalia; Primates; Hominidae. The record is from RNAcentral.
GGGCAGGUCCCACGGUGGGGCUGCCGCAGCCAGGCUCCAUGGGGUGGGGCACCCUGCGACAGGGGCUGCUCCUCUUCCCAGGGCCACCGGUGAGACCCUCAGUGCAUAGAGUGCGGUUCCAUGUGGAAGUUGUGGGAUGCGUCUCCUGGCCCUCCCAUAGUGGGAUGCAACCCCAAGUGAAGACCCCAUGGCUCGUGUCAAGUGCCGUCAGGGCUGGGGCUGCCCACUCGCCUGCCUGGGCCGUCUUGACACUGGAGCUGCCUGCCUGGAUGUUGGAGCACCCGGAGGAUUGACUGGGAAGUGGGCCUGGGUGCUUACAGGCGAUGGGGUCACCAGAGCCCACCCAGGGGCCUCACCUAUCCCCCAUUCUCAUCCCAUACUCUGGGAGGCGGUACAAGGUCGGGAGGGCCAGCGGGGCUCUCUGCCACCAGGACUCACUUCCGCCUCUCUUGGAACUGGGCCUCGCUUUCCUGCGAGCUUCUCCUGGGUUCUCAGUGCCCACCAGCAGCUCCUUUGCUCUCCCUGAGCCCUUGAGGUCACUCUGCCUUGGGAAUGGGGAGGGUUUGGGUCUCAGCCUCACGCUCAUGGUCCUGGCUCAGAUUUUAGCCCUGAGUGGCACUCUGGGAGCACUUGUGCUCUUCAUGGUUGCCAUUGGGAUUUUCCAGGAGGCUCUGUGGCAUUUGCUGUUGCUCUCUCUCAAUGUGGAAACUCUGCCUUGCUUUUUUUUUUUCCCUUUUGUCCGCUCUGUAGGUGCUCGAGGGGGGAGUUGCAGAUCCAGCAGAGACUCGACGGCACUCUCUCACUGGAUCUGAUGUGACUCAAGAGUGAUGGGGAGACAGGAUGUGCCGCAGAGUCCUCGGUGCUGCAGGGCGCACAGCUGAUUGCCGUGGCCUCCUCGGACCCCGCUGCGGCGGGCGUGGAUGGGUCGCCACUCCAGGGCAGUGACAUCCAGGUUCAGUACGUGCAGCUGGCGCCGGUGAGUGACCACACGGCCGGGGCGCAGACGGCCGAAGCCCUGCAGCCCACGCUACAGCCGGAGAUGCAGCUCGAGCACGGGGCCAUCCAGAUCCAGUGAGCGGUGCCCACGGCACCAGGAGCCCCCGGCACCAGGAGCCCCUCGCGGGCUCUGCCUACAGCCCGGCCCCCACGCGCCCUGCUCUCGCGGCCUCGGCACAGGCAGCGGCUGCACCUGUUCUGCUGAAGUGCGUCUGAAGGCUGCUGCCUCCGCGGGGAAGAGCAUCCUAUCAACUGAAAGAGCAGCCGCCGCCGCCCCCAGCCGGAGACCCCUUUCGUUUGAGUCAUGAUGUUGGUGUUGGAGGACGAGGGGAGGCACAGUGCGGAGAGCAUCGCGUAUGCGCAGGAAAUCAAGAACUAUGAUAUUUUUCUGUUUAAACAGCUUUUUUUAAUUUGCUAUGGUGUUUAUAACAAAAAAAGAAAAUUUGAAAAAAAAAUCCCAGGGGAGUAGCAGGAGCCCUUUGCUGUGUGCUCUGUCUAGUGUCAUGAGACGAGAGCCCUUUGCUGUGUGCUCUGUCCAGUGUCAUGAGGCAGGUGUUUGCAAAGCCAGCUCUCGGUUCCGAUGGGGUAUUGCUGACCUACUUUUCUAGGGGAAAUGCUCUCAAACACUGUAAUUAUGCAUUUCUAAUGAAAUAAAAUGUAUUUAUGACCACA